CUGAGUUCGGGAAGGGAUAACCGCUGAAAGCAUCUAAGCGGGAAGCCUACCUCAAGAUAAGAUUUCCCUAGGACUUUAUGUCCUCUAAAGAGCCGUUCGAGACUAGGACGUUGAUAGGUUGGAUGUGGAAGCAUAGUGAUA
RNAcentral lists this ribosomal RNA (141 nucleotides) under Acinetobacter baumannii. RNAcentral describes it as "partial 23S ribosomal RNA". It matches the Rfam family "Bacterial large subunit ribosomal RNA", at positions 2749 to 2883 of the family's 2925-position model. The record is from RNAcentral. Lineage: Bacteria; Pseudomonadati; Pseudomonadota; Gammaproteobacteria; Moraxellales; Moraxellaceae.